AGAGUUUGAUCCUGGCUCAGGAUGAACGCUAGCGACAGGCUUAACACAUGCAAGUCGAGGGGCAGCGGUGGUGAAGGCUUGCCUUUACCAGCCGGCGACCGGCGCACGGGUGAGUAACACGUAUGCAACCUGCCUGCCACAGCCGGAUAAUCGGGAGAAAUUCCGUCUAAUACGGCAUAAUGCACCUAUGGGACAUCCUGUUGGUGCCAAAGGUUGAUUCCGGUGGCGGAUGGGCAUGCGUCGCAUUAGUUAGUUGGCGAUGUAACGGACCACCAAGACGACGAUGCGUAGGGGUUCUGAGAGGAAGGUCCCCCACACUGGUACUGAGACACGGACCAGACUCCUACGGGAGGCAGCAGUGAGGAAUAUUGGUCAAUGGGCGGGAGCCUGAACCAGCCAAGUCGCGUGAGGGAUGACGGCCCUAUGGGUUGUAAACCUCUUUUGCCGGGGAGCAAAGUGCCGCACGUGUGCGGUUUGGAGAGUACCCGGAGAAAAAGCAUCGGCUAACUCCGUGCCAGCAGCCGCGGUAAUACGGAGGAUGCGAGCGUUAUCCGGAUUUAUUGGGUUUAAAGGGUGCGUAGGCGGGCUUUUAAGUCAGCGGUAAAAAUUCGGGGCUCAACCCCGUCCGGCCGUUGAAACUGGGGGCCUUGAGUGGGCGAGAAGAAGGCGGAAUGCGUGGUGUAGCGGUGAAAUGCAUAGAUAUCACGCAGAACCCCGAUUGCGAAGGCAGCCUUCCGGCGCCCUACUGACGCUGAGGCACGAAAGUGCGGGGAUCGAACAGGAUUAGAUACCCUGGUAGUCCGCACAGUAAACGAUGGAUGCCAGCUGUCCGGGCCGAAUGGGGCCUGGGUGGCAAAGCGAAAGCGUUAAGCAUCCCACCUGGGGAGUACGCCGGCAACGGUGAAACUCAAAGGAAUUGACGGGGGCCCGCACAAGCGGAGGAACAUGUGGUUUAAUUCGAUGAUACGCGAGGAACCUUACCCGGGCUCAAACGCGUCAGGGAUCCCCUCUGAAAGGAGGGGAGUCAGCAAUGACCUGGCGCGAGGUGCUGCAUGGUUGUCGUCGGCUCGUGCCGUGAGGUGUCGGCUUAAGUGCCAUAACGAGCGCAACCCCUACCGACAGUUGCUAACUGGUGAAGCAGAGGACUCUGUCGGGACUGCCGGCGCAAGCUGCGAGAAAGGCGGGGAUGACGUCAAAUCAGCACGGCCCUUACGUCCGGGGCGACACACGUGUUACAAUGGCAGGUACAGCGGGAAGCCACCGGGCGACCGGGCGCGGAACCCGAAAACCUGUCUCAGUUCGGAUCGGAGUCUGCAACCCGACUCCGUGAAGCUGGAUUCGCUAGUAAUCGCGCAUCAGCCACGGCGCGGUGAAUACGUUCCCGGGCCUUGUACACACCGCCCGUCA
This 1407-nucleotide ribosomal RNA is filed under the name uncultured bacterium. RNAcentral describes it as "16S ribosomal RNA". It matches the Rfam family "Bacterial small subunit ribosomal RNA". The record is from RNAcentral.